RNAcentral lists this ribosomal RNA (497 nucleotides) under uncultured bacterium. Its description in RNAcentral is "partial 16S ribosomal RNA". It matches the Rfam family "Bacterial small subunit ribosomal RNA", at positions 28 to 507 of the family's 1533-position model. The record is from RNAcentral.
GACGAACGCUGGCGGCGUGCCUAAUACAUGCAAGUCUAGCGAACAGACGAGGAGCUUGCUCCUCUGACGUUAGCGGCGGACGGGUGAGUAACACGUGGAUAACCUACCUAUAAGACUGGGAUAACUUCGGGAAACCGGAGCUAAUACCGGAUAAUAUAUUGAACCGCAUGGUUCAAUAGUGAAAGACGGUUUUGCUGUCACUUAUAGAUGGAUCCGCGCCGCAUUAGCUAGUUGGUAAGGUAACGGCUUACCAAGGCAACGAUGCGUAGCCGACCUGAGAGGGUGAUCGGCCACACUGGAACUGAGACACGGUCCAGACUCCUACGGGAGGCAGCAGUAGGGAAUCUUCCGCAAUGGGCGAAAGCUUGACGGAGCAACGCCGCGUGAGUGAUGAAGGUCUUCGGAUCGUAAAACUCUGUUAUUAGGGAAGAACAAAUGUGUAAGUAACUAUGCACGUCUUGACGGUACCUAAUCAGAAAGCCACGGCUAACUACGUG